RNAcentral lists this ribosomal RNA (579 nucleotides) under Triticum aestivum (bread wheat). RNAcentral describes it as "partial small subunit ribosomal RNA". Lineage: Eukaryota; Viridiplantae; Streptophyta; Magnoliopsida; Poales; Poaceae. The record is from RNAcentral.
UUGCCCGAAGAUAAAGCGCCUGGACCAGACGGUUACAUCGGAUCCUUCUUCAAGUCUUGCUAGGAAAUUAUUAAAGUAGACAUGAUGACCGCAAUCAACUCCUUCUCAAAUAUGCAAACAGCUAACUUGCACUGGCUCAUCUUGGCAAAUAUAGUGUUGCAUCCAAAGAAGGAUGGGGCCAAAGAUAUCGUGGAUUUCCACCCAAUCAACCCGAUUCACGCCUUCUCUAAGAUCAUCGCCAAGAUCAUGGCCAAUCGUUGGGAUCCAUUCAUGAGUGGUCUGGUCUCCGAGGAUCAGAGCGCUUUUAUCAAGACUAGAAGCAUCCACGAUAAUUUCAUGUUCAUUCGUGGGUUUACUAGACGUCUGCACCAGAAAAAAAACGCCGGCCCUCCUCCUCAAGCUAGAUAUCAAGAAGGCUUUCGACUCGGCUCAUUGGAACUACCUCCUAGACUUGUUCCAACGCCAGGGAUUCCCUGCCGGAUUCAAAAACUAGGUGGCUGCUUUAUGGCUCCGUCCUCCUCGCGAUUUCUUCUUAACCGGGUCCUAGGGGACCCGAUAAAGUUGGGUAAGGGACUGUAG